GAUGAACGCUAGCUACAGGCUUAACACAUGCAAGUCGAGGGGCAGCAUCGCGAUAGCUUGCUAUUGCGGAUGGCGACCGGCGCACGGGUGAGUAACGCGUAUCCAACCUUCCCGCAACUGGGGAAUAACCUUGCGAAAGUAAGACUAAUACCCCAUGGUCUCCACGGAUGGCAUCUGAAAUGGAGUAAAGGUUUCGGCCGGUUGCGGAUGGGGAUGCGUCCGAUUAGCUUGACGGCGGGGUAACGGCCCACCGUGGCAUCGAUCGGUAGGGGUUCUGAGAGGAAGGUCCCCCACAUUGGAACUGAGACACGGUCCAAACUCCUACGGGAGGCAGCAGUGAGGAAUAUUGGUCAAUGGGCGGAAGCCUGAACCAGCCAAGUAGCGUGAAGGACGACUGCCCUAUGGGUUGUAAACUUCUUUUAUGCGGGGAUAAAGUUCGCCACGUGUGGCGUUUUGCAGGUACCGCAUGAAUAAGGACCGGCUAAUUCCGUG
RNAcentral lists this ribosomal RNA (492 nucleotides) under uncultured bacterium. RNAcentral's name for it is "bacterial SSU rRNA". It matches the Rfam family "Bacterial small subunit ribosomal RNA", at positions 28 to 507 of the family's 1533-position model. The record is from RNAcentral.